ACUCUUAUAAAGCUAGAAUUCUAACCUUAUACCGUUAGCCGGUUANGGANCAGUCUCUGGUGGGCAGUUUGACUGGGGCGGUCGCCUCCUAAAAGAUAACGGAGGCGCACAAAGGUUUCCUCAGAUCGGUCAGAAAUCGAUCGUAGAGCGUAAAGGCAUAAGGAAGCUUGACUGCGAGACCUACAAGUCGAGCAGAGACGAAAGUCGGUCUUAGUGAUCUGACGGUUCCGAGUGGAAGGGCCGUCACUCAACGGAUAAAAGUUACUCUAGGGAUAACA
RNAcentral lists this ribosomal RNA (278 nucleotides) under uncultured eukaryote. RNAcentral describes it as "partial large subunit ribosomal RNA". It matches the Rfam family "Bacterial large subunit ribosomal RNA", at positions 2202 to 2479 of the family's 2925-position model. The record is from RNAcentral.